Humulus lupulus (European hop) is the source of this 647-nucleotide long non-coding RNA. RefSeq lists it as uncharacterized. The transcript is spliced from 2 exons. The record is from RefSeq and is a predicted model, not a curated record. NCBI's taxonomy places the organism in Eukaryota, Viridiplantae, Streptophyta, Magnoliopsida, Rosales, Cannabaceae.
AAAUUACUACGUACCUACUUCUAGAUCAAUCUAGCUACGUACUAAAUCAAACACAGCUUCAUAAUAAUAUUGCUAUUCAGUCCCUCAUCAUUACCAUUAUGGCCAGCUCUUCAGUUGUGGUCAUGGCCAUGGUGGUGGCUGCACCAGUAGCAAAUGCCAUAACAUGUGGGCAAGUGUCUAGCAGCGUUGGGCCAUGCAUCAACUACCUCAAGAGCGGCGGCGUUGUCCCUGCCGCAUGCUGCAAUGGGAUUAGGUCGCUAAAUAGCGCAGCCAAGACCCCGGCUGACCGCCAGACUGCAUGCAAGUGCCUGUAGUCGGCUUCUAGCAGCAUCAAAGGACUCAACUUAAAUCUCGCCGCUGGACUCCCCGGCAAGUGUGGUAUCAACAUUCCAUACAAGAUCAACCCCUCCACCAACUGCAAUAGUGUGCAGUGAGCUUUUUGAAGAAUAUACACGAGGUGAUUUUCUAGCGUAGCAUGAUAUAUAUAUAUAUAUAUAGUUCUAUAGAAAAGAAUAAAGAGUGUGUGGGUUUAUAUCCGCACACGUGCAUCUCUUGCUAUAUAAGGAGUAGCUUUUUUUUAUUUAUAGCUGUAACAUCAUGUACUUUUGAUAUCAUGAGUAAUGAAUUGUUAUAGCAUAUUUUUAUGA